RNAcentral lists this transfer RNA (66 nucleotides) under Mytilus coruscus. Its description in RNAcentral is "tRNA-Leu". The record is from RNAcentral. Lineage: Eukaryota; Metazoa; Mollusca; Bivalvia; Mytilida; Mytilidae.
UAUAUAUACCUGCUCUCAUUGCUGCACAAGCUGGCAGACUAAAUGCGUACGAUUUAAGCUCGUCUC